This 22-nucleotide microRNA is filed under the name Monodelphis domestica (gray short-tailed opossum). Its description in RNAcentral is "mdo-miR-7385a-3p". Lineage: Eukaryota; Metazoa; Chordata; Mammalia; Didelphimorphia; Didelphidae. The record is from miRBase by way of RNAcentral.
GAACACAGGCUAUCUGACCUAG